Ribosomal RNA from Danio rerio (zebrafish), 117 nucleotides. NCBI's taxonomy places the organism in Eukaryota, Metazoa, Chordata, Actinopteri, Cypriniformes, Danionidae. The record is from Ensembl.
AGGUACAGCCAUAUCACCCUGCAGUCCAGGACUGGUUACUUGCUGAAGCUAAGCAGGGCUGAGCCUGGUCAAUACCUGGAUGGGAGACCACAUAGAAAAACUAGGUUGCUGUUUGAA